UACGUGUUACUAAUCUUGGUAGUGAUCUACAACAAAUCACUAUGUGUCCUAUAUCAGUAGUACAAUCUCACCUUCCUACAGACGAUGGUAUCGCAGUUUAUUUUACACCUAAGAAUCCAAAACAUAAAAAGAUUGUGGAGUCCACUCCGGUAAACAUCCAUUUCUAUUUUGAUUAUCCUUUGUGUUCUAACCUAAAUGCGUGGAAGGUUGACAAUCUUGUAUCAGAAUUUCUGCCAAUUCUACACACCAUAAGCACAGGUGCAAAAGAUGAGAGCAGUUGGUUCCAAAUUAAGCAUACAACAAAUAGAAAGUAUAAGCUAGUGUUUUGUCUCUUUGACACUUAUUGCCAAGACAUUGGCAUCGUCUCACAAAGUGGUUAUCAUCGUUUGGUUCUCUCGGACAACCCAAAGCCUUUUUGCUCAAACUGGAUGAUAGAAUUGGAAUGGCAGCAGAAGUAUGAUCUUGUCAUGUUAUGCCUAGAUCUACUCUACGUAAUGUAUAAUAAUAAUGCAUGUAGGUACUUUAUCCUGUUGCAUGGAUGUAAAACUUGAUAAUAAUGUAAUGGGGGUCUGUCUAUGUGCCCCUUAUAUAUGAUCACAUGAUAUAUAUUAUGUAUUGAUAUGGAUAUCAUAAAAGACUCUGGUUCAUUCCUUGAGAAAUUUCUUUAAUCCUCUAUGAUUUCAAAGAAUUAAUUAAGACACAUAAGAAUAAGUACCGAGCUUGGAUCAAUCAAUAUUGUAGAUGCUCAAUGACUUACUGGGACAAUACAUGCAAUAACUUGUUCGACAACUAACUAUGAAAAUCAUGUAGUCAUAUAUACCAUCACUUUUUUCAAGAUACUAUUAUUACUAUAUAAAAAGUCACUGCGAUUAAACAUUAGUACUAAAUAACUAUUCUCAAUUGUCAAUUUGGAAUAAAACAUCACUUGCUUCUUGCCAUUUUGGCCAGUCAUUUUUUUGUCGACAUUCUGUGACAGAUUUAUGUUCAAGAUUCCAACUAUUUUGCAAGAUUUUCGUUGCAACAUUAUAUGCAAAGACAUAAUCCACUACUAUUUCGGAUCUAUUCAAAUUAGUUUCAACAUCACUUGAAUUUAUGGAUAGUUUCAACAUCAUCUUGACCAUUUGUUUUUCUUUUUCUAGGAUUUCGAUCCUUAGAACCUAAUGGUACAUCAGGCUUCAAGCGCACUUUAGAUUCAUUAGCUAUGACACUAGUGGAUGGUCCUUUAGGGACAUCAAUUCAAAUUGGGAAAUAUUCUGUAGGAAUAUAUGAUUUAGUGAUCCUUUUCAAAUCUGUAAAUGCGUCUGGCAUUUGAUUUGCAAUUUUCUGCAGAUGAAUAAUCUUUUGUACUUCUUGUCCACAAAUAGAAGCACGUGAAUCAAGUUGAGAUAGUGAUGGAUUUUUUCACAAAAUUUCUCUUUUGAUGUCAUUAUCUUCUCCCCCUAAUUUUGGAAAAACUAUUUCAUCAAAUCAAUAAUCUGCAAAUCGAGUUGUGAACAUAUCUCUCAUUAAUGGUUCAAGAUAGUGAAUAAUGGAGAGUGAUUCAAACCCAACAUAAGUUUCUAACCUUCUUUGGAGGCCCAUUUUGGAGUGAUUUAGUUAUUCUAUAGGCACAUAUACACCGCAUCCAAAAAUUCUCAGAUGAGAUAUAUUAGGCUCUUGACCAAAAUCAAUUGCAACGGAGAAAAUUUAUGAUAAUUUGUCGGUCUAAGACGAACAAGUGUUGCAGCAUGCAAAAUUUCAUGACCCUAAACAAAGUCGGCAACUUAGUUUUCAUAAGCAAUGGUCUAGCUAUCAAAUGCAGACGUUUAAUUAAUGACUCGGCAAGGCCAUUUUGAGUGUGAACAUGGGGUACAGGAUGUUCAACUCUUAUUCCAAUCGAUAAACAAUAGUAAUUAAAUGCUUGGAAUGAAAAAUCUGUGGCAUUAUCAAGGCGAAUAGACUUAAUUUGAUUAUCAGGAAACUGUGCCCAUAAUCGUAUUAUUUGUACCAACAGUUUUGCAAAUGCCAAGUUGCGAGAUGACAAUAGGCGCACAUGAGACCAUCUAGAAGAAGCAUCUAUUAGGACCAUAAAGUAUCUAAACGACCCACUAGGUAGGUGAAUGGGUCCAUAAAUAUCCCCAUGUAUGCGUUCUAAGAAUGCGGGGGACUCAAUCCCAACUUUUGUUGGCGAUGGACUCACAAUCAUCUUGCCUUGAUAAUAACCAUUACACGAAAAUUCAACAUUCGAAAUAACCUUCAAGUUUUUUAAUGGAUGCCCAUUUGAAUUUUCUAUGAUUCGUCUCAUCAUUAUAGAUCCAGUAUGUCCCAGACGAUCAUGCCAAAGUAUGAAAGUAUUGGAAUUAGUAAACUUCUUGUUUACUAUAGAAUGUGCCUCAAUUGCACAAAUCUUUGGCCAAUAUAGGCCAGAAGAUAAUGUAGGGAACUUUUCUUUAACACAUGUUUGCCAAGAGACAUUCUUGGUGAUACAAAGAUAUUCAAGAUUCAUCUCAUCAAUUGUCUUGAUAUGAUAACCAUGUUCAUGGAUAUCUUUAAAAUCUAUCAAGUUUCUCCGAGACUUAGGAGAAAACAUAAUAUUAUUUAUGAUGAGUUUAGCUUCCUUGGGCAAGAUUAUAAUGGCUUUUCCGAAGACUUCAAUUAAAUUAGCACUACCAGAAAUUGUAGUAAUAUUAAUCUUGACCAUGUUUCGAUGAGACAAAUAUUUUUCGUCUUUGAAUAACGUAUGUGUAGUGCUAGAAUCAAUCAAACAAAUAUCUUCACAAUUGGACAGCUUACUUUGAAAAUUAUCCAUAUCUUCAAGUAAAAUAAUAUACACCAAACUAAAUAUAUAUUAAAUCUUUAUAUAAAGAAAAAGAUUAUACUAUAAGGAAUUAUUAAUCACACUUUACUAAACAAUUAAAAAGAAUAUAUCCAAUUAGUGUGCGAUUAGUACAGCUUAGCAUUUUAUUUUUCAAUAGAAAGAAGAAGAAAAAUGCAUUGUAUUUUUCAAUAAUUAAAAAAAAAAAAUAAAAACACGUAUCCAUGGAGCCAACAAUCAAUUCACUAAUAAACAAUAAUAACCUGCAUGGGCCACCAAUAAUAGCGCCUACCAUUUGCUUUAAUUAAUGUAUCGUCCAAUCAAUGAGACGGCUUAGUAUAAAGAGCACUAGACGAUGAACAUUAUUUCUCCUAAUUCUUCUUCUUGAUCCACUAUUUUUUUUUUUUUUUUUUCUUUUGCAGCACCUACCAUUUGCUUUAAAUAAUGUAUCAUUUUUUCCUUUUUUUUUUGUCAAUAAAUAAUGAAAAAAUUGAAAUUCAAUUUAAUGCAAUAAUAAACCACAAUAAUAGAAUUAAACUAAUUAAUAAACCAUUAGGUUCAUCAUUUAGUAUAAAGAAAUAAAUUAAACGUGGAUGGUUCACAUAAACUAGAUCAUAACAAUUCAUCUUGUCUAUAAAUAGAAGAGGUUAGCAAGAAGGAUACACAAAUCAUCAAAACAAAUUAAUAUCCCUAAAGAUGAAGACCAUAUUACUCUUUCUUUUCCUUGAAAUAAUAUUCCUUCCCUUGUCAGCCUUGGCAACUCCCAACAACCAAGUAUUGAUAGAUGUACUCGAUACUAAUGGUAAUCCCCUCAACAAAAGCAAUAGGUACUGGAUAACUCCAGCCUACACCACUAUGGACGGUGGAGGCAUACGUGUUGCUAAUCUUGAUAGUGAUCUACAACAAAUCACUAUGUGUCCUACAUCAGUAGUACAAUCCCACCUUCCUACAGACGAUGGUAUCGCAGUUUAUUUUACACCUAAGAAUCCAAAACAUCAAAAUAUUGUGGAGUCCACUCCGGUAAACAUCCAUUUCUAUUUUGAUUAUCCUUUGUGUUCUAACCUAAAUGCAUGGAAGGUUGACAAUCUUGUAUCAGAAUUUCUGCCAAUUCUACACACCAUAAGCACAGGUGCAAAGGAUGAGAGCAGUUGGUUCCAAAUUAAGCCUACAACAAAUAGAAAGUAUAAGCUAGUGUUCUGUCUCUUUGACACUUAUUGCCAAGACAUUGGCGUCGUCUCACAAAGUGGUUAUCAUCGUUUGGUUCUCUCGGACAACCCAAAGCCCUUUGUGUUCAAACUGGAUGAUAGAAUUGGAAUGGCAGCAGAAGUAUGAUCUUGUCAUGUUAUGCCUAGAUCUACUCUAUGUAAUGUAUAAUAAUAAUGCAUGCAGGAACUUUGUCCCAUUGCAUGGAUGUAAAACUUGAUAAUAAUGUAAUGGGGGUCUGACUAUGUGCCCCUUAUAUAUGAUCACAUGAUAUAUAUUAUGUAUUGAUAAGGAUAUCAUAAAAGACUCUGGUUCCUUCCUUGAGAAGUCUCUUUAGUCCUCUAUGAUUUCAAAGAAUUAAUUAAGGCACAUAAGAAUAAGUACAGAGCCUGGAUCAAUAAACAUCGUAAAUGCUCAAUGACCAACUGGGAAAAUACAUGCAAUGACCUGUUCGACAACUAACUAUGAAAAUCAUGUAGUCAUAUAUACGAUCACUUUUUUCAAGAUACUAUUAUUACUAUAUUAAAAGUCGCUGCGAUUAAACAUUAGUACUAAAUAACUAUUCUCAGUUGUCAAUUUGGAAUAAAACAUCACUUGCUUCUUACCAUUUUGGCCAGUCAUUUUUUUGUCGACAUUCUGUGACAGAUUGAUGUACAUGAUCCCCACUAUCUUGCAAGAUUUUCGUUGCAACAUUAUAUGCGAAGACAUAAUCCACUACUAUUUCAGAUCUAUUCAAAUUAGUUUCAACAUCACUUGAAUUUAUGGAUAGUUUCUCAUUUUCUUGAGUCUCAGGCUCAUUAAUUCCUUCAAGAAUAUCAACAUUGCUCAAAUCUUGAACUUUCAUAUGAGGAUCUUUCAUAGUGUCAUCUUGACCAUUUGUUUUUCUUUUUCUAGGAUUUCGAUCCUUAGAACCUAAUGGUACACCAGGCUUCAAGCGCGCUUUAGAUUCAUUAGCUAUGACACUAAUGGAUGGUCCUUUAGGGACAUCAAUUCAAAUUGAGAAAUAUUCUGCAGGAAUAUGUGAUUUAGUGAUCCUUUUCAAAUCUGUAAAUGCGUUUGACAUUUGAUUUGCAAUUUUCUGCAGAUGAAUAAUCUUUUGUACUUCUUGUCCACAAAUAGAAGCAUGUGAUUAAGUUUAGAUAGUGAUGGAUUUUUUCACAAAAUUUCUCUUUUGAUGUCAUUAUUUUCUCCCCCCAAUUUUUGGAAAACUAUUUCAUCAAACCGAUAAUCUGCAAAUCGAGCCGUGAACAUAUCUACCAUUAAUGGUUAAAGAUAGUAAAUAAUGGAGGGUGAUUCAAACCCAACAUAAGUUUCUAACCUUCUUUGAAGGCCCAUUUUGGUGCGAUUUAGUUAUUCUAUAGGCACAUAUACACCGUAUCCAAAAAUUCUCUGAUGAGAUAUAUUAGGCUCUUGAUCAAAAAACAAUUGCAACGGAGAAAAUUUAUGAUAAUUUGUCGGUCUAAGACGAACAAGUGUUGCAGCAUGCAAAAUUGCACGACCCUAAACAAAGUGGACAACUUGGUUUUCAUAAGCAAUUGUCUUGCUAUCAACUGCAGACGUUUAAUUAAUGACUCGACAAGGCCAUUUUAAGUGUGAACAUGGGGUACAGAAUGUUCGACUCUUAUUCCAAUCGAUAAACAAUAGUCAUUAAAUGCUUGGAAUGAAAAUUAUGUGGCAUUAUCAAGGCGUAUAGACUUAAUUUGAUUAUGAGGAAACUGUGCCCGUAAUCGUAUUAUUUGUGCCAACAAUUUUGCAAAUGCCAAGUUGCGAGAUGACAAUAGGUGCACAUGAGAACAUUUAGAAGAAGCAUCUAUUAGGACCAUAAAGUAUCUAAACGACCCACUAGGUGGGUGAAUGGGUCCAUAAAUAUCCCCAUGUAUGCGUUCCAAGAAUGCGGGGGACUCAAUCCCAACUUUUGUUGGCGAUGGACUCACAAUUAUCUUGCCUUGAUAAUAAGCAUUACACGAAAAUUCAACAUUCGAAAUAACCUUCAAGUUUUUUAAUGGAUGCCCAUUUGAAUUUUCUAUGAUUCGCUUCAUCAUUAUAGAUCUAGUAUGUCCCAGAUGAUCAUGUCAAAGUACGAAAGUAUUGGAAUUAGUAAACUUCUUGUUUACUAUAGACUGUGUCUCAAUUGCACAAAUCUUUAGCCAAUAUAGGUCAGAAGAUAAAGCAGGAAACUUUUCUAUAACACAUGUUUGCCAAGAGACAUUCUUGGUGAUACAAAGAUAUUCAAGAUUCAUCUCAUCAAUUGUCUUGAUAUGAUAACCAUUUUCAUGGAUAUCUUUAAAAUUCAUUAAGUUUCUCCGAGACUUAGGAGAAAACAUAACAUUAUUUAUGAUGAGUUUAGCUCCCUUGGGCAAAAUUAUAAUGGAUUUUUCGAAGACUUCAAUCAAAUUAGCACUACCAAAAAUUGUAGUAAUAAUAAUCUUGACCAUGUUUAGAUGAGAGAAAUAUUUUUUGUCUCUGAAUAACGUAUGUGUAGUGCCAGAAUCAAUCAAACAAAUAUCUUCACAAUUGGACAGGUUAUUUUGAAAAUUAUCCGUAUCUUCAAGUACAAUAACAUACACCAAGUUAAAUAUAUAUUAAAUCUUUGUACAAAGAGAAAGAUUAUACUAUAAGGAAUUGUUAAUCACACUUUACUAAGCAAUUAAAGAGAAUAUGUUCAAUUAGUGUGUGCUUAGCUUAGCUUAACAUUUUAUUUUUCAAUAGAAAGAAGAAAAAAAUGCAUUGUAUUUUUCAAUAAUUAAAAAAAAAAAAAAGAAUAAAAACACGUAUCUAUGGAACCAACAAUCAAUUCACUAAUAAACAAUAAUAACUUGCAUGGGCCACCAAUCAAGUCUCUUUUUUUUUCUGUUUUCUUUUUCUUUUGUAGCGCCUAUCAUUUGCUUUACUUAAUGUAUCGUCCAAAUUUUUUUUUUUUUUUUUUUUCAGCACCUACCAUUUGCUUUAAAUAAUGUAUCAUUUGUUCCUUUCUUUUUUGUCAAUAAAUAAUGAAAAAAUUGAAAUUCAAUUUAAUGCAAUAAUAAACCACAAUAAUAAAAUUAAACUAAUUAAUAUUAAUCAAAAUCUAAUACUCAUGCAAACAACUACUUUUACAUGAUUUUUAUUCACUAACUCUUAUUAAUAGUAAAAAAAAUAAAUUAAAAAUUAUUCAUUCUUCCAUGUUUACGAAACUGUCACCAAUCAAGUGAUCAAUUUCUUUCUACAUCCAACCAUGUGAUGUCAACAUUAUUUUCAGUGAGAAAGUUAGCUCGAAAUUUCUUUCUUUUUCUUUAGUGAUGCUAGAUAAAGAUCAACCAAGUGCUUGAGAGCACGACAAUCACGUGAAUAAUGUCCUUUUUCACCACAUCAAAAAUAAGUAAUUGUUUCACGUUUCUCAUCUUUUUUUUUGUUCAACCAAUGAUUAACACCCGGAAUAGAAUUUCUUUCUUGGUCAUCACGACCACGACCACGACCAUAACCACGACCACGUCUAGGGUCGCGACCUUUUCCACGCCUAGCAUGGUAAGCAUGCAUAUCAUUCACCUCAGGGAAUGGUGCAGAUACAGUAAGUGGAUUCUUGUAAUUUUUCGUCAAAAAAUUAUUAUUUUAUUCAGCCACGAGAAGAUGAGAACUCAGUUCAGUAUAUUUCUUGAAACCUUUUUCUCGAUAUUGCUUCUGUGAUAGUAUAUUCGAGGUAUGAAAGUGGAGAGCGUCUUUUCCAUCAUAUCGUCAUCAUUGACCGUCCCUCCACAUAGUUUCAAUUAAGAAAAAAUUCUGAACAUGGCAGAAUUGUACUCAUGAACAGACUUAUAGUCUUGAAACCUUAGAUGCAUUCAUUCAUAUUGUGAUUUUGGGAGGAUGACCAUCUUUAAGUGGUCAAGCCUUUCUUUUAGGAUAUUCCACAAUACGAGUGGAUCCUUAGUAGUAAGGUAUUCCAUUUUUAGAAUUUCGUCAAGAUGAUGAUGGAAUAAAAUCAUAGCAUUAGCACGAUUUUGACUAGAUGCUGUAAUUUCUUUCUUUAUGGUGUCUCCAACACCCAUAACAUCUAGGUGGAUAUCAACAUCCAGCACCCAUGAAAUAUAGUUCUUGCCCGAACAUUGAAGUGUAACGAACUCACACUUAGUAAGAUUAUUAGACAUACGAAAAAGGGAAGAAAAAUAAUACCUUAGCCUUUAACUUUGAGAUGGUGGAGUCUUGUGCUGAUAACAUUUUAUGAAAUAACAAAGAAUAAAGAACAAGAGUAUAGAGAGAAGAGAGAGUAAUUGUUAAUUCUCUUGAGGAUGAUUUAAAAUGAAGGAAUUCCUUCUAUUUAUAGGGAAAAUUUGCUCCUAUUUUCACACUAAAAAGAUAAAUACAUCAAGUCCUGAUAGACAUCAACUAAUUCUUGAUAGAUCUUGACAGACAUUCACUAUAACUGAUAUACAUCAAUAUCAUAACAGGAGCAAAAUAAUUGUCUAUUCUUGAUAUGUUAAAAGUGACAAAUAAAAGUGAAAAUCUUAUCUUUUAAAUAAUGAACAAGUAACAUGAUAGAUGGAGUAAAUGACUUCUCCACAUCUACUUUAUAUAUUAUAAUAAAAACAUAUGAUUUUUUUACGAAUAUAUUAUUGGGUUCAUAGUAUAUGAAAGAAGUGUGAAUGAAAAACUGGAGAAUAAAAUGGUGGAGGGGAAGGAGACACUAAAAUGGAAAGUGUACUCCCAAAUUAGAAAGUUUACUCUUUCUCCCACAUUGGUGGAAGAAGAGAACUUGAAAGUUUUUUAUAAUCAAGAACACUUACUCCACAUGACAAGUGAGACAAGAAAUAAUAGAUGCCUCUCGCCAUUGUCGUCGUCGCUCGCUCGGCUCGACUUCGACUUCGGCUUCGGCUUCGGAUUUGGAUUUGGAUUUGGAUAAUGAUCGAUCGAUGAGAUCUAUCUUUUUGGACAAACUUCUGCAGUGUUUCAACAGUUGCACUGUUUCAAGUGAACUGAUGCAUUAUUUUCAAACUGGUGCUUCAAAAAUGAUAUUGUUCUGAACUGAUAAACUGAGGCUAUAGAAGGUUGGAACGGGUUCAAAAUGAUGCUUCAGUAGGAUGUAAUACUUCAAUGAAGUGACACACUGAUUCAUGAAAUGAGAUGACUGUUCAGGAAAAGAUGCAAUCUUUGAUGAACAGACAUGAACUUACAGCAAAGGUGUAACCUUUGGAGUGAACCAUUGCCUCUUUUCAGAAGAGGCAUGUUAUGGCUAUAUAAACCUGCUUUCAUCCACAGGUUUUGAUAUGAAAUUUCAGAAUAAAAAAUACUCUUCUUGUCUUCAAAAAUUCUGUGUAAUCAUUCAAACUGUUGAGUGUGUUCGACGAGUCUAAAUAUUUGAGGUACCGCUAUAUUUGGAUUGAAGGCCAUUUUAUCCUGGGAUGAAAAAUUCCAUAACCUCGGGUACAGUGAGGGGAAUUGUUUCCUUAAGGAAACUCCGUGAAUUCAGACGACUUGGCCUUAUUCAUUUCUGUUUCAUCUUGAUUUCUGAAAAUAAAAUACACUUCUAAGAAAGAUCACUUUGAUCCUUUGUUGAGGGUAUUUUUUGUACUUUAUUGAGUUCUUAUUUUAAACUUGAACUAGUUGAAGUUGUUUUUCUACAUACACAGAUUCUGCGUACCCGUAGAAAGAAAUAACAAUCUUAAGGAAACAAAUUUCAGAAUCUGUAUAGCUUGUUUUUGGAAAUUACAGUUUUAACUUUCUACUCUGCCUGAACUUAACUAGUAAUUUGAAGUCAUAAAAACUUCAUCACAAGUUAAAGAUCAUUCGGUUGACAAUUGGAAGUCAUAAAAACUUCAUUGUCAACUAGAAACAAGAAGAAAAGUUUAAAGUUGCUUAACUUUAUAAGUAGUAAUCUGAAAAUACUAAGUAUUUUUUAUCUUGUGGUGACAGGAAAAAUGACAAGCGAUAGUCAAAUGCAAGAUGCGGCAACGUCUGUGGGGACAACUAAUAUUGCCACUUCAAGUCGCACAAAUGCUCCGCCUACAAUGGAAUCGACGGAGAAGCCCGAAAAAUUUACGGGCAUUGACUUUAAACGAUGGUAGCAAAAGAUGUUUUACCUCACCACUCUGUGUAUGCAACGGUUCACUAGAGAAGACGCUCCUGACGUGCCCGAGGGAACCUCGGACAAAGGGCAUUUCAUAAUUGUAGAAGCUUGGAAACAUUCAGAUUUCCUUUGCAGGAAUUAUAUUCUGAGUGGUCUCCAAGAUGACCUCUACAAUGUUUACAGUGGAACUAAGACAUCGAAGAAAUUAUGGGGGGAACUUGAACGAAAAUAUAAAACAAAGGAUGUGGGAAUUAAGAAAUUCCUUGUUGCACGAUUCCUGGACUUUAAAAUGAUAGAUACGAAAUCGGUUGUCUCUCAAGUGCAGGAGUUGCAAGUCAUCAUAUAUGAUCUCCUAGCAGAAGGUAUAUGUGUGAAAAAUACCUUAGUUGAACAAAUUUAAAAAGUUCUUAAUACUCACAAAAAUUGUUUUUAGGUUUGAUUGUGAAUGAUGCAUUUCAAGUAGCAGCGAUAGUUGAGAAGCCACUACCUUUGUGGAAAGACUUCAAAAAUUACUUGAAGCAUAAACGCAAGGAGAUGACUGUUGAAGAUCUUAUUGUCUGACUAUUGAAGAUGAUAAUAAAGCUACUGAGAGAAGGUCAAAAGGGAAUUCUACAAUUAAUGGAGCCCAUAUUGUAGAAGAUGACCAAAACAAUUCUAAGAAAAGAAAAAAAGCUGAACGAGGAAGCAAUCAACCCAAGAAGAAAUUCAAGAAAAAAUGCUUCAAUUGUGACAAGAUUAGCCACAAGUCCACGGAUAACCCGAAGAAAGGCAAGAAAACGGAUCAAGCAAAUAUGAUUGAAUCCAACAAAGAAUGCGGUGAUUUAUGUUCUAUGUUCUCAGAAUACAACUUGGGGGGAAAUCCUCUUGAAUGGUGGAUGGAUUCAGGUUCCACCCACCAUGUAUGUACCAACAAAGAGUUGUUUUCGUCAUUCGCUCCAGAUCAAGUAGAAGAAAUGAUCUACAUGGCUAACUCCGCUAUUGCUAAGGUAGAAGGAGCAGGAGAAAUAUGUUAGAAAAUGACUUCAAGAAAGGUCUUAACACUUAACAAUGUCUUUUAUGUUCCGGAGUUACGUAGGAAUUUAAUUUCUGUUUCACUUCUAGACAAGAACGGAUUCAAAUGUGUAACCAUUUCUGAAAAAAUUGUAAUUAGCAAAGGAGAAAUGUAUGUGGAAAAAGUCUAUCUGACCGAAGGCCUUUAUAAGAUGAAUGUAAUGACUGUUGAAAUAAACAAAAGUUCAAAUUCUUAUUAUUUUCUUGAGUCUUAUGAUUUAUGGCAUGAACAUUUUGCCCAUGUUAAUUAUAAAAUGUUACGAAAAUUGAUUAACUUAGAAGUUUUACCAAACUUUGAGUGCACUAAAUCAAAGUGUCAAAUGUGUGUGGAAUCGAAGUAUGCACGGUAUCCUUAUAAGUCCGUUAAAAGGAAUUCCAAUCCCUUAGACUUAAUACAUACUGACAUUUGUGAUAUGAAGUCAACACCAUCACGUGGUGGGAAAAAGUAUUUCAUAACUUUUAUUGACGAUUACACGAGAUAUUGUUAUGUCUAUCUGCUAAAUAGUAAGGAUGAAGCAAUAGAUGCGUUUAGGCAAUAUAAAACUGAAGUUGAAAAUCAAUUAGACAAAAAGAUCAAAAUCAUAAAAAGUGAUAGGGGCGAAGAAUAUGAAUCUCCCUUUGCGUAAAUAUGUGUAGAGAAUGAAAUCAUCCAUCAAACUAUGGCCCCAUAUUCACCUCAAUCUAAUGGAAUUAUGGAAAGGAAAAACCAAACUUUGAAGGAAAUCAUGAAUGCCUUCCUUAUAAGUUCUGGAUUACCGCAAAACUUGUGGGGGGAGGAUAUCCUUACGUCUAACCGUAUACUCAAUAGAGUUCCCCAUAGUAAGAUACAAUCAAUUCCUUAUGAAAAGUGGAAAAUAAGAAAACCCAACUUGAAAUAUUUCAAAGUGUGGGGGUGUCUAGCAAAGGUCCAAGUUCCUGUGCCUAAAAGGGUUAAGAUAGGACCGAAGACGGUGGACUAUGUGUUCAUAGGAUAUGCUAAAAGCAGUAAGGCAUGUCGAUUUUUGGUUCAUAAAUCCAAACAUUUGGAUAUUAAUGAAAAUACGGUAAUUGAAUCAGACAAUGCUGAAUUCUUUGAAAACAUUUAUUUGUAUAAAACUAGAUAUGAACAGUCUAGUGGGGGGUCUAAACGACCUCGUGAUGAACCAAUUGAAAAUGAACAUAAUGAAUAAAAUCCAAGAUGUAAAACACGUCAAAGAACGUUUACUUCGUUUGGAGUGGAUUUUGUGACAGUUUUUUGGAAAAUGAGCCUCAAACAUUUAAGGAAGCAAUGGCAUCUUCGAAUUCAUCCUUUUGGAAAAAGGCAGUCAAUAGUGAGAUAGAUUCAAUCUUAAGCAACAAUACAUGGGAAUUGGUUGACCUUCCUCCCAGAAAUAAACCUUUAGGUUCCAAAUGGAUCUUCAAAAGAAAGAUGAAACUGGAUGGUACUAUUGAUAAAUACAAGGCAAGACUUGUAGUAGAAGGCUUCAAACAGAGAGAAGGCCUUGAUUACUUCGAUACAUACUUGCCAGUAACAAGGAUAACAUCGAUUCGAAUGUUAAUUGCCUUGGCUGCGGUAUAUGGCCUUGAGAUCCAUUAAAUGAAUGUGAAAACCGCUUUCCUAAAUGGAGAAUUGAAGGAAGAAAUAUACAUGGAACAACCUGAGGAUUUUGUGGUUCAUGGAACAACCUGAGUAUUUUGUGGUUCCAGGAAAGAAAAAUAAGGUGUGUAAUUUUAUUAAGUCAUUGUAUGGACUAAAGCAAGCACCUAAACAAUGGCAUACGAAGUUUGACCAAACUAUGUUGGCAAACAGAUUCAAAAUAAAUGAAUGUGAUAAAUGUGUUUAUAUUAAAGACAUUCCAAAUCACCAAGUCAUUAUUUGUUUAUAUGUGGAUGAUAUGUUAAUCAUCAGUAGAGACAUUUCUAACAUAAAUGCAACAAAAUGAAUGCUCGAGAGAAAGUUUGAUAUGAAAGACCUUGGAGUUGCGAAUGUGAUCUAAGGUAUAAGAAUCCAAAGAACUCCACAAAGGUUGGCAUUGUCACAGUCUCAUUAUGUCGAAAAGGUACUUGACAAAUUCAAGUAUAUGAAAUUCGGUAUUGCCAAGACUCAAUUGGAUGCGAGCUUUGCACUUCGAAAGAAUGAAGAUGAAAGUGACUUGCAAUUGGAGUAUGCAAGAGUAUUGGGAUGUUUAAUGUAUAUAACGAACUGUACACGACCAAACAUAGCAUGCGCUAUCAGUAAAUUGAGUUGGUACACGAUUAAUCCCAACAAAACUCAUUGGAUGGCAUUAAAAGAGUUUUGGGGUUUCUUAAAUACACUCAAGAUUAUGCUUUGCAUUAUAAUAAAUAUCCUGUGGUACUUGAAUGAUCUAGUGAUGCAAAUUGGAUCACCGGAUGAAACGAAGUAAAAUCCAUAAGUGGAUAUGUAUUUACUAUUGGUGGAGGAGCGGUCUCUUGAAAAUUAUCCAAACAGACUUGUAUUGCUCGCUCUACAAUGGAAUAUGAAUUUAUCGCAUUAGAUAAAGCCAGUGAAGAAGCAGAAUGACUCCACUAUUUCUUGGAAGAUAUUCCUUAUUGGCCCAAACCAGUGGAACCAGUAUGUAUACACUGUGCUAGCCAAGAGGCAAUAGGCAAGGCAGGGAGCAUGAUGUACAACGGUAAAUCUCGUCACGUACAACGGAGACAUAAUACCGUUAGAAAACUUCUCUCUAGUGGAAUUAUCACUAUUGACUAUGUAAAGUCAAAGUAUAAUAUGUCGGAUCCAUUUACAAAAGGCCUAUCUAGAGAAGGAGUGGAAAGAACAUCUAAGAGAAUGGGUUUAAGGCGUAGGAUGAGCCAGCAUGGAGGUUACUCUGCCUAGCAGACUGGAAAUUCCAAGAGCUAGGUUUAAGGAGAUCAAACAAAGUUGUGUCUGACAGGUUCAACAUUGUCAAUUACCCAACUCAUUCUCAUGAUGUAGACAAUGUUUAGUAAACAAGGAUACGACUUAAGGUGAAAAGUCUUUUAAUGCUUAUCUAAAUUUGGCAGAUUAGACCAAAUAGUUUAAUCUACAGGAUUGAAUGUUUAGAAAUCACCUAUGUGAGAGCGAAGUGGAAGCCUCUUCAAAGAGAAUGUUAGUAAAGGAUUAUUCUCCAAGCUCUCAUGAAACCGGGACGUGCUUAUUGCUGAAAAGAACAAAACCAUGAGAACCAUAAAUUGUAAAAGGCUGGUUGUGUGACAUAUAUUGUCUAGGUGUACAUUAAAGCUCGACGGUUCAAGGAUAUCAAAUCUACCGAUUGACCGAGUGCAUCCGAUGCAUGUUCACUACGGAAAGUUUAAAGGGAAACCCACUUAUCCAGAUGCAAUCAGUCUUUGCCUGAUGAUCACAUACUUGUCCGUAAAAUUUUUAUGAUAAAUAACCAUUCCCCAUUCAUGUGGGGGAUUGUUGGGUUCAUAGUAUAUGAAAGAAGUGUAAAUGGAAAAAUAGAGAAUAAAAUGGUAGAGGGGAAGAAGAUACUAAAAUGGAAAGUGUAAUCCUAAAUUAGAAAAUUUACUCUUUCUCCCACAUUGGUGGAAGAAGAGAACUUAAAAGUGUUUAUAAUCAAGAACACUUACACCACAUGGCAAGUGAGGCAAGAAAUAAUACAUGCCUCGUGCCGUCAUCGUCGUCGCUCGCUCGGCUCAGCUUUGGAUUUGGAUUUGGAUUUGGAUUUGGAUUUGGAUAUCGAUCGAUGAGAUCUAUCUUUUUGGACAAUCUUUAUUUGAAUUCUGAAGAAUGCUAAGGAAAAAUACUGUAAAAUUUUUCUGCAGUGUUUCGACAGUUGCACUAUUUCAAGUGAACUGAUGCAUUAUUUUUGAACUGGUGCUUCAGAAAUGAUACAUUAUUUUGAACUGGGGCUACAGAAGGUUGCAAUGGUUCGAAAUGAUGCUUCAAAAGGAUGUAAUCCUUCAAUAAAGUGAGGUGUUACCUUUGGAGUGAACCAUUGCCUCUUUUCAGAAGAGACAUGUUAUGGCUAUAUAAACCUGCUUUCAUCCACAGGUUUUGAUACAAAAUUUCAGAAUAAAAAAACCUCUUCUUGUCUUCAAAAAUUCUGUGUGAUCAUUCAAACUGUUGAGUGCAUUCGAUGAUUCCAAAUAUUUGAGGUACCGCUAUAUUUGGAUUGAAGGCCAUUUUAUCCUGGGAGAAAAAAUUUCAUAAAAAAAUUCAUAACCUCGGGUACAGUGAGGGGAAUUAUUUACUUAAGGAAACUCUGUGAAUUCAGAUGACUUGGCCUUAUUCAUUUCUGUUUCAUCUUGAUUUCUGAAAAUAAAAUACACUUCUAAGAAAGAUCACUUUGAUCUUGUGUUGCGCAUAUUUUUUGUACUUCAUUGAGUUCUUGUUUUAAACUUGAACUAGUUGAAGUUGUCGUUCUACAUAUACAGAUUCUGCGUACCCGUAGAAGGAAAUAACAUAUAUAUAUCAUCAUUUAGUAUAAAGAAACAAAUUAAACGUGGAUGGUUCACAUAAAUUAGAGCAUAACAAUUAAUCUUGUCUAUAAAUAGAAGAGGUUAGAAAGAAGGAUACACAAAUCAUUAAAACAAAUUAAUAUCCCUCAAGAUGAAGACCAUAUUACUCUUUCUUUUCCUUGAAAUAGUAUUCCUUCCCUUGUCAGGCUUGGCAACUCCCAACAACCAAGUAUUGAUAGAUGUACUCGAUAUUAAUGGUAAUCCCCUCAACAAAAGCAAUAGGUACUGGAUAACUCCGGCCUACACCACUAUGGACGAUGGAGGCAUACGUGUUGCUAAUCUUGGUAGUGAUCUACAACAAAUCACUAUGUGUCCUACAUCAGUAGUACAAUCUCACCUUCCUACAGACGAUGGUAUCGUAGUUUAUUUUACACCUAAGAAUCCAAAACAUCAAACGAUUGUGGAGUCCACUCCGGUAAAUAUCCAUUUCUAUUUUGAUUAUCCUUUGUGUUCUAACCUAAAUGCGUGGAAGGUUGACAAUCUUGUAUCAGAAUUUCUGCCAAUUCUACACACCAUAAGCACAGGUGCAAAGGAUGAGAGCAGUUGGUUCCAAAUUAAGCAUACAACAAAUAGAAAGUAUAAGCUAGUGUUUUGUCUCUUUGACACUUAUUGCCAAGACAUUGGCAUCGUCUCACAAAGUGGUUAUCAUCGUUUGGUUCUCUCGGACAACCCAAAGCCUUUUUGCUCAAACUGGAUGAUAGAAUUGGAAUGGCAGCAGAAGUAUGAUCUUGUCAUGUUAUGCCUAGAUCUACUCUACGUAAUGUAUAAUAAUAAU
This 16320-nucleotide long non-coding RNA is filed under the name Capsicum annuum. Its description in RNAcentral is "long non-coding RNA (CANN_LNC008943)". The record is from RNAcentral. Lineage: Eukaryota; Viridiplantae; Streptophyta; Magnoliopsida; Solanales; Solanaceae.